GUUUGAUUCUGGCUCAGGAUGAACGCACAAGACGUGCCUAACACAUGCAAAUCGAAUGAAAAUAAUUAAUUAUUGUUUUCAUGGUGAACGGGUGAGUAACACAUAAGAAUCAGCUUUUAGAUAAGGCAUAAAAGAGUAAUAUCUUGGUAAUUCCUUAUAUGCGCAGCAGUGCUUAAAAAGGGGAGUCCCGUCUAAAAACGAGCUUAUGCCUGAUUAGCUAGUUGGCGAGUUAAAAGCUCACCAAGGCGAAGAUCAGUAGCUGGCCUGAGAGGGCGGCCAGCCACAUUGGGACUGAGACACGGCCCAAACUCCUACGGGAGGCAGCAGUGGGGAAUCUUCUGCAAUGGGCGCAAGCCUGACAGAGCGGCGUCGUGUGAAGGAAGAAGGCCUGAAAUAGGUUGUAAACUUCUUUUACUGAGUAAUGAAUAAUGACAACGCAGUAAAAAAGUAUCGGCUAACUCCGUGCCAGCAGCCGCGGUAAUACGGGGGAUGCAAGCGUUAUCCGGAAUAACUGGGCGUAAAGCGUCUGUAGGUGGUUUAGUGUGUUCUUAGUUAAAUUCUGAAGCCUAACUUCAUGAAAAGUAAGAAAACUAUUAGACUUGAGUACGAUAGGGGUAAGAGGAAUUCUUCGAGAAGUAGUGAAAUGCGAAGAUACGAAGGAGAAGAUCAUAAGCGAAGGCUUCUUACUGGGUCGUAACUGACACUGAGAGACGAAAGCUAGGGGAGCGAAUGGGAUUAGAUACCCCAGUAGUCCUAGCUGUAAACGAUGGAUAUUCGGUGCCGGAAAUUUUAUUAGAACAUUUCGGUACCCUAGCUAACGCGUUAAAUAUCCCGCCUGAGGAGUACGCUCGCAAGGGUGAAACUCAAAGGAAUUGACGGGGGCUCGCACAAGCGGUGGAGCAUGUGGUUUAAUUCGAUGC
RNAcentral lists this ribosomal RNA (920 nucleotides) under uncultured candidate division CAB-I bacterium. RNAcentral describes it as "bacterial SSU rRNA". It matches the Rfam family "Bacterial small subunit ribosomal RNA", at positions 11 to 957 of the family's 1533-position model. The record is from RNAcentral.